Molecule: long non-coding RNA, 751 nt
Organism: Mytilus californianus (California mussel)
Lineage: Eukaryota; Metazoa; Mollusca; Bivalvia; Mytilida; Mytilidae
Exons: 3
Source: RefSeq, a predicted model, not a curated record
CUGGAUAACAAAACAAUGUUAAUAAAUUGAUUCCGCUUCUGGGUUACACACCGAUUCCGAAAUUUUUCAAGGUGUGCGGUAUUUCCCGCGGUUAUUUUUGGCAAGCAAUCUCCAUGUCAAUGUGAUAACAGUCCAUAUGAAACUGACAGACUGAGAGUCUGUGUACUGUACAAUGACGGAACUGUAGAAGUAAAAAAAAAGUUCUGUCUCGGGUCUACUGUACUGUGUACUUGUGACUUUAAAAAUAUGCAGUGCAGGGAUACAGCAAGUUCCCAAGUUCUUAGUUAAUGAACAGAGAAAAUUGUUGAGGAGCUCAUUGGGGAAAAAAAAGAAAUUAACAAAGGAAAUGUACUUUUUCAAUAAGGAGAAGAAGUAAAAGCAGCAGGGAAAAUUGACACAGAGUGAUACAUCUUCUAUGAAUAAAAAGAGGAAAUAAGUGUCUGCAGCAGUAAAUCAUUAUAACAACAAGACUGUGAAAAGACGAUAUCAGAACAUGAAAUGAGUUUUAUUUCUUUUAAAAAGAAUUGUUACGGAAUAUACCUCUUGUGAUUCUAAUGAAAACCAUUGUCAACUUGAAGUAAAGGAAGAUUUUAUAAUUUGAUAGAACAGGAAAUAAAGGAAGACUCAUUUAGAGCAUAACAAAGCACAAUGUAUAUUUCUAAUUAGUUUGUUAAUUCAGAAUAACCCUGGUGAAGGAAUUAUAGUUUACAGUAAACAACAUACAAUACACUUACAAUUUCAUGUUUUGCAA